CCUUUGACACGGAAGCGUUUGUGUGGGGGGGGAAACUUCCGGCCAAUCUGGACGAAGAGCUGACAUGCUGUAUCUACAGGUGUCGCUUCACGUCCCACCUGCGUACUGCCGAUUAUCGAGUCCGUGGAAAAAAAACACUCAACUCUCGAGUCAACAGGAAAAUCCCAUUGAGAUGAAGAAUCUCCUGUGACAAACAUUCAGUAUCUUGCCCGAGGACAAGGAUGGCAAAAGCUGGAUUGGUACCUGGAUCCCUCCAGUUCUGGGAACAUUUCGCAGGAACCCCCGAGCCAAGCUGGCCUAAUGGCGCCAGAGGAUCGGUCAUCCAGGACCCGAACCUGGACCCCGACGUCUUGAUGGUGAUGGGGUCGCUGAUGCCCGUCAGUUUGCCGCACGCUGCAACGGACAAAGUCUCUAGCCGAGGAAGCAGACGGGGCCCACUUCGAAGCCGAACUUCUGCGAGGGGCCGCCAAAGUCGUUGAACAUGAUGUCCACCAGGGGGACCUGCUCCACCUUGGGGGUGUUGAUCUCCAGUACCGUCCUGUCGUAGCCCUUCUUCAGCUGCAACGAGGUGAGAGGAAGGUUUUAAAAACAAAUAUAUACAUUUUCAACCACUUUUGGUGAAUGUUAAAGGUCGUAAAAGUUAUUAAAAAAUAAGUUUUUUUUUCUACUCUCAAUGCUAAAAUCUGUAGCGCACCAGCAGAUCUAUUCACUGAUACAAUAGUUCUAGUUUGUUUUAUGCCCUUUUUGUCAAAGAAAACCCGGUUUUUCAUGGCAAAAAAAACCCCGCAAAUAUUUGCAAUAAUUUUCCCCAAAUAAAUUCAAACUGGAAUAAUUGAGGUGAAAUAAUUGGACCCUAGUAAAGGGCAAGAAAA
Molecule: long non-coding RNA, 872 nt
Organism: Entelurus aequoreus (snake pipefish)
Lineage: Eukaryota; Metazoa; Chordata; Actinopteri; Syngnathiformes; Syngnathidae
Exons: 5
Source: RefSeq, a predicted model, not a curated record